Molecule: ribosomal RNA, 264 nt
Filed under: uncultured bacterium
Lineage: Bacteria
Description: partial 16S ribosomal RNA
Rfam family: Bacterial small subunit ribosomal RNA
Source: RNAcentral
CGUUAGUGGCGGACGGGUGAGUAACGCGUGGGUAACCUGCCCUGUACAGGGGGACAACAGCCGGAAACGGCUGCUAAUACCGCAUAAGCCUGCGGGGCCGCAUGGCCCGGCAGGAAAAGCUGCGGCGGUACAGGAUGGGCCCGCGUCUGAUUAGCCAGUUGGCGGGGUAACGGCCCACCAAAGCAACGAUCAGUAGCCGGCUUGAGAGAGCGAACGGCCACAUUGGGACUGAGACACGGCCCAAACUCCUACGGAAGGCAGCAG